ACACACGUGCUACAAUGGUCGGUACAGAGGGUUGCCAAGCCGCGAGGUGGAGCUAAUCCCAGAAAACCGAUCGUAGUCCGGAUCGCAGUCUGCAACUCGACUGCGUGAAGUCGGAAUCGCUAGUAAUCGUGGAUCAGCAUGCCACGGUGAAUACGUUCCCGGGCCUUGUACACACCGCCCGUCACACCAUGGGAGUGGGUUGCACCAGA
This 209-nucleotide ribosomal RNA is filed under the name Crypthecodinium cohnii. RNAcentral's name for it is "partial Bacterial small subunit ribosomal RNA". It matches the Rfam family "Bacterial small subunit ribosomal RNA", at positions 1216 to 1424 of the family's 1533-position model. The record is from RNAcentral. Lineage: Eukaryota; Dinophyceae; Gonyaulacales; Crypthecodiniaceae.